UACUCCUACCCGGGAGGCAGCAGUAGGGAAUCUUCCGCAAUGGACGAAAGUCUGACGGAGCAACGCCGCGUGAGUGAUGAAGGUUUUCGGAUCGUAAAGCUCUGUUGUUAGGGAAGAACAAGUACCGUUCGAAUAGGGCGGUACCUUGACGGUACCUAACCAGAAAGCCACGGCUAACUACGUGCCAGCAGCCGCGGUAAUACGUAGGUGGCAAGCGUUGUCCGGAAUUAUUGGGCGUAAAGGGCUCGCAGGCGGUUUCUUAAGUCUGAUGUGAAAGCCCCCGGCUCAACCGGGGAGGGUCAUUGGAAACUGGGGAACUUGAGUGCAGAAGAGGAGAGUGGAAUUCCACGUGUAGCGGUGAAAUGCGUAGAGAUGUGGAGGAACACCAGUGGCGAAGGCGACUCUCUGGUCUGUAACUGACGCU
Molecule: ribosomal RNA, 424 nt
Filed under: Bacillus sp. (in: firmicutes)
Lineage: Bacteria; Bacillati; Bacillota; Bacilli; Caryophanales; Bacillaceae
Description: bacterial SSU rRNA
Rfam family: Bacterial small subunit ribosomal RNA
Source: RNAcentral